GACGAACGCUGGCGGCGUGCUUAACACAUGCAAGUCGAACGGAAAGGCCCUGCUUUUGUGGGGUGCUCGAGUGGCGAACGGGUGAGUAACACGUGAGUAACCUGCCCUUGACUUUGGGAUAACUUCAGGAAACUGGGGCUAAUACCGGACAGGAGCUCCUGCUGCAUGUUGGGGGUUGGAAAGUUUCGGCGGUUGGGGAUGGACUCGCGGCUUAUCAGCUUGUUGGUGGGGUAGUGGCUUACCAAGGCUUUGACGGGUAGCCGGCCUGAGAGGGUGACCGGGCACAGUGGGACUGAGAUAGGGCCCAGACUCCUACGGGAGGCAGCAGUGGGAAAUAUUACAAAAUGGGCGGAAGCCUGAUGCAGCAACGCCGCGUGCGGGAUGACGGCCUUCGGGUUGUAAACCGCUUUCGCCUGUGACGAAGCGUGAGUGACGGUAAUGGGUAAAGAAGCACCGGCUAACUACGUG
Molecule: ribosomal RNA, 468 nt
Filed under: uncultured bacterium
Lineage: Bacteria
Description: partial 16S ribosomal RNA
Rfam family: Bacterial small subunit ribosomal RNA
Source: RNAcentral